UACAGAGGUGGCGAGCGUUGUUCGGAUUUACUGGGCGUAAAGGGUGCGUAGGUGGUCUCGCGUGUCGGAUGUGAAAUCCCACUGCUCAACGGUGGAACUGCAUCGGAAACUGUGAGACUUGAGUGCAGGAGGGGAGAGCGGAAUACUUGGUGUAGCGGUGAAAUGCGUUGAUAUCAAGUAGAACACCGGUGGCGUAGGCGGCUCUCUGGAAUGCAACUGACACUGAGGCACGAAAGCUAGGGGAGCAAACAGG
Molecule: ribosomal RNA, 253 nt
Filed under: uncultured bacterium
Lineage: Bacteria
Description: partial 16S ribosomal RNA
Rfam family: Bacterial small subunit ribosomal RNA
Source: RNAcentral